RNAcentral lists this ribosomal RNA (492 nucleotides) under uncultured bacterium. Its description in RNAcentral is "partial 16S ribosomal RNA". It matches the Rfam family "Bacterial small subunit ribosomal RNA", at positions 29 to 507 of the family's 1533-position model. The record is from RNAcentral.
AGUGAACGCUGGCGGUAGGCCUAACACAUGCAAGUCGAACGGCAGCACAGUAAGAGCUUGCUCUUACGGGUGGCGAGUGGCGGACGGGUGAGGAAUACAUCGGAAUCUACUUUUUCGUGGGGGAUAACGUAGGGAAACUUACGCUAAUACCGCAUACGACCUACGGGUGAAAGCAGUGGAUCUUCGGACCUUUCGCGAUUGAAUGAGCCGAUGUCGGAUUAGCUAGUUGGCGGGGUAAAGGCCCACCAAGGCGACGAUCCGUAGCUGGUCUGAGAGGAUGAUCAGCCACACUGGAACUGAGACACGGUCCAGACUCCUACGGGAGGCAGCAGUGGGGAAUAUUGGACAAAGGGCGCAAGCCUGAUCCAGCCAUACCGCGUGGGUGAAGAAGGCCUUCGGGUUGUAAAGCCCUUUUGUUGGGAAAGAAAAGCAGCAGGUUAAUACCCCGCUGUUCUGACGGUACCCAAAGAAUAAGCACCGGCUAACUUCGUG